UACGUAGGGUGCGAGCGUUGUCCGGAAUUAUUGGGCGUAAAGAGCGCGUAGGCGGUCCGAUAAGUCGGCUGUGAAAGUCAGGGGCUCAACCCUUGAAAGCCGGCCGAUACUGUCGGACUAGAGUCCGGAAGAGGCAAGUGGAAUUCCCGGUGUAGCGGUGAAAUGCGCAGAUAUCGGGAGGAACACCAAUGGCGAAGGCAGCUGCUGGGACGGUACUGACGCUGAGGCGCGAAAGCGUGGGGAG
RNAcentral lists this ribosomal RNA (244 nucleotides) under uncultured bacterium. RNAcentral describes it as "partial 16S ribosomal RNA". It matches the Rfam family "Bacterial small subunit ribosomal RNA", at positions 524 to 768 of the family's 1533-position model. The record is from RNAcentral.